GGGUGUUUUUGUAAAAGCACUUUUGACAACUUCUGAUGUAAAAAGGGCUUUAUAAAUACAUUUGAUUGAUUGAUUAAAAAUGCAUUGAUGGUGAAGGGUUGUCAUAGCUGAUGGAAGUGGAUGCGUGGAGGGUUGUUAUAGCAGGUGGAGGGUUGUCAUAGCUGAUGGAAGUGGAUGCGUGGAGGGUUGUUAUAGCAGGUGGAGGGUUGUUAUAGCAGGUGGAGGUGGAUGCGUGGAGGGUUGUUAUAGCAGGUGGAGGGUUGCUAUAGCAGGUGGAGGUGGAGAGGUGGAGGGUUGUUAUAGCAGGUGGAGGUGGAUGCGUUGAGGGUUGUUAUAGCAGGUGGAGUGUUACUAUAGCAGGUGGAGGUGGAGAGGUGGAGGGUUGUUAUAGCUGGUGGAGUUGGAGAAGUGGAUGGUUGUUAUAGCAGGUGGAGGGUGGUUAUAGCAGGUGGAGGUGGAUGCGUUGAGGGUUGUUAUAGCAGGUGGAGGGUUGUUAUAGCAGGUGGAGGUGGAGAGGUGGAGGGUUGUUAUAGCUGGUGGAGGUGGAGAGGUGGAGGGUUGUUAUAGCAGGUGGAGGGUUGUAAUAGCAGGUGGAGGUGGAUGCGUGGAGGGUUGUUAUAGCAGGUGGAGGGUUGCUAUAGCAGGUGGAGGUGGAGAGGUGGAGGGUUGUUAUAGCUGGUGGAGUUGGAGAGGUGGAAGGGUGUUAUAGCAGGUGGAGGGUUGUUAUAGCAGGUGGAGGUGGAUGCGUUGAGGGUUGUUAUAGCAGGUGGAGUGUUACUAUAGCAGGUGGAGGUGGAGAGGUGGAGGGUUGUUAUAGCUGGUGGAGUUGGAGAAGUGGAUGGUUGUUAUAGCAGGUGGAGGGUGG
This is a long non-coding RNA of Esox lucius (northern pike), 865 nucleotides long. NCBI's taxonomy places the organism in Eukaryota, Metazoa, Chordata, Actinopteri, Esociformes, Esocidae. The record is from Ensembl.